RNAcentral lists this ribosomal RNA (554 nucleotides) under Streptomyces sp. T1(2015). Its description in RNAcentral is "bacterial SSU rRNA". It matches the Rfam family "Bacterial small subunit ribosomal RNA", at positions 319 to 882 of the family's 1533-position model. Lineage: Bacteria; Bacillati; Actinomycetota; Actinomycetes; Kitasatosporales; Streptomycetaceae. The record is from RNAcentral.
CUGAGACACGGCCCAGACUCCUACGGGUUUGCAGCAGUGGGGAAUAUUGCACAAUGGGCGCAAGCCUGAUGCAGCGACGCCGCGUGAGGGAUGACGGCCUUCGGGUUGUAAACCUCUUUCUUCAGGGAAGAAGCGCAAGUGACGGUACCUGCAGAAGAAGCACCGGCUAACUACGUGCCAGCAGCCGCGGUAAUACGUAGGGUGCGAGCGUUGUCCGGAAUUAUUGGGCGUAAAGAGCUCGUAGGCGGCUUGUCGCGUCGGAUGUGAAAGCCCGGGGCUUAACCCCGGGUCUGCAUUCGAUACGGGCAGGCUAGAGUUCGGCAGGGGAGAUUGGAAUUCCUGGUGUAGCGGUGAAAUGCGCAGAUAUCAGGAGGAACACCGGUGGCGAAGGCGGAUCUCUGGGCCGAUACUGACGCUGAGGAGCGAAAGCGUGGGGAGCGAACAGGAUUAGAUACCCUGGUAGUCCACGCCGUAAACGUUGGGCACUAGGUGUGGGCGGCAUUCCACGUCGUCCGUGCCGCAGCUAACGCAUUAAGUGCCCCGCCUGGGGAGUA